RNAcentral lists this ribosomal RNA (468 nucleotides) under uncultured bacterium. RNAcentral describes it as "partial 16S ribosomal RNA". It matches the Rfam family "Bacterial small subunit ribosomal RNA", at positions 28 to 507 of the family's 1533-position model. The record is from RNAcentral.
GACGAACGCUGGCGGCGUGCUUAACACAUGCAAGUCGAACGGAAAGGCCCUGCUUUUGUGGGGUGCUCGAGUGGCGAACGGGUGAGUAACACGUGAGUAACCUGCCCUUGACUUUGGGAUAACUUCAGGAAACUGGGGCUAAUACCGGAUAGGAGCUCCUGCUGCAUGGUGGGGGUUGGAACGUUUCGGUGGUUGGGGAUGGACUCGCGGCUUAUCAGCUUGUUGGUGGGGUAGUGGCUUACCAAGGCUUUGACGGGUAGCCGGCCUGAGAGGGUGACCGGCCUCAUUGGGACUGAGGUACGGCCCAGACUCCAACGGGAGGCAGCAGUGGGGAAUAUUGCACAGUGGGCGGAAGCCUGAUGCAGCAACGCCGCGUGCGGGAUGACGGCCUUCGGGUUGUAAACCGCUUUCGCCUGUGACGAAGCGUGAGUGACGGUAAUGGGUAAAGAAGCACCGGCUAACUACGUG